RNAcentral lists this long non-coding RNA (2280 nucleotides) under Homo sapiens (human). RNAcentral's name for it is "HSALNT0364068". The record is from RNAcentral. Lineage: Eukaryota; Metazoa; Chordata; Mammalia; Primates; Hominidae.
AGGAAACUGAAGAAGGUCAAUCUAGAAUGAUACUUGCUGGAUGGAUUGAAAAAGUGAAGCUUUAGCAGCAAGUAGAAAAACUGAAGCAUCAGUUGCAGUAACUCAUCCAUUGAGUGAAAAGGUUCUUCCCAUGUCCCUACUCUCAGAAAUGCAUUCUGAAAUUUCGAAGAAACAAGACAUUACACAAGUACAUGGCUUCACUACCAAGGGGAAGGGCAAAAGACCAUCUUUGAUUUAAUUCCAGGCUUCAGUGUCUAAUUCUGUGGCAAAGAUAGCUCAUGAAUUCUUUGUUCCUCUGCCAAGCGCAACAGGGAUAAGUAGCCUUGCUCUGGGAAUAUGAGUUUGAUGAUUGGGUUGCAUGAACCCUGGAAGCCUGGAAUAUUCAUCUAUUUUCACAUUCUUCUGUCCCUCCUGACUGCAGCACUCCCCAAACCUACAUGGAAGAGCUAAAAUCAAUUCUGGUAAAUCUCAUCAACUUCUAGGACACUGUGGUAGAUUUCCUUCAGUUUAAUCUCUAGCAUUAACUGGAAGAAACAUUUUCUUACUCAGUCACUACAUUUGUCAAGAAAUAAUGCUAUGGUUGAACACUGCACGAAAUGAUAGAGAUUAACAGUAGCACAAUACUAGACAUUUCUUUUUUGCUAUUCUACUUAAUGCCUGAUGUAACCUCAUGAGGUGGAUGUUGUACUCCUGACUUUAGAGAUAAGAAAACUGAACUUUUGGGAGGCUAAAUAACUUACUUACAGUUACAUAGUCAAGAAAUGGAGAUGGCAAGAGUUCAGGCCUAGGUUUGUCUGAUUGCAAAUACUACAUCCUUUCUAUUGCUUCACUUUGUUUGGCUUUAAAGCUGUUAAAUGAGAAUGACCAUAAUACCCCAGAGAACUUCUGUGAGGAUUAAAUGGAUAUGCAAAAGCUCUCGACAUAAUACCUGGCUCAAGGUAGAGUUUGGCUGAGACAGCCCUUCUUGGAUCCACCAGACAUCUGGGGAGGCAUUCAACUGGGACCUGCAGGAUUCGCUUUCAAUGUGGCUCACCCACAUGGCCAGGAGUGCAGACCAGGACCAGCUGUUUCUCUCCACAUGGGUUUCUUCAAGGACUUCUUGGGCUUCUUCAGAGCAUGCCAGCUGGAUUUCGUGAUAUCAAGAGGAGUGUAGCACACACAUGUUACAGCUGAAAAUGAUGCGCUGUGAUGUCAAGCACUUUCCCAAGGAGAUGCAGCUAAUAGUUGCCAGAGCCAUAAUGAUAUUAGGUGUUGUUCCCUUUGUCUGGGACGCCCUCUCCGUAUGUAUUAGUCUGGAAAACUCCACUUAUCCCAUCAGCCUCAGCUCUCACCUCUUCCGAGACCUUCCCUGACAUCACUAGGCAAAUAUAAAUGAGCCCUCUGACCAUCCCCUUUGUGCAAGACUCAGGUUAAAAAAAUGACCCCAUGAGAGAGUGUUAAUAUUUCUUUCCUCAAUUAGAAUCUUGAAGUCCAGAACUGUGCAUUUCCAUCCUUAUAUCAGAAUGUCUAGCACACAAGAAGCACUGGGAAAUAUGUGUGGAAUAAAUAACUGAGCAUGUUGAUAAAGGAGCAUAUAUUUUUAAUAUCCAUAGAAGUGCAAAUCUUUGCUGGGUAGCGUUGUAGGAAUGUUUUUCCACAUGUCAUGACGACAUUUGUUUUGCAUUUUAGUCCAUUACCAUAAUAAUAACUCUCCAUUUGCAGCUUAUGAAUUUGAAAAUAAAUUGCCUUCCCUAGGAAAUAGGAGAAAAUACUAUUAAAUGGCCAUAAUUGUUAUUACUUUGUCACCUGUAUAUUAUGAAAUCUGAAUAGAAAAAUUCAACUAAAAGAACUGAAAUGCUUAGUUCAUUAUUGAGUAUGCUUUCUUGGUGGGAUAAUAUUUUUACAGAAAAUAUUUUUCUAUUCCAUUAAACUGUAUUUAACAAGAACAUGAAUAUACUGAGGUAGGCUUAAAAAUAUAGCAGAGCAAGUCAAAUGCCAAAAAUUAUCCCAGCUCUGGAACUAAAACUACACAAAGAAGGGAGUAAUGACAUUGGGAACAAGGGCUGGAUGUGGCUUUGAUUGCUCUCUGAUACACAUCAGUGCAUAAAAACAGUCCAGUAUGUUUAGAAUGUCUUCCUUUCCUCCAAAAACUUGGCUAAUUCCCCUUCCACCUAUUCCUCAAGGCACACGUAUUCUGUGAAGCUUUCCUCAUAUUCUCUCGGACAGUACUUCUAUUAUUUUGCAUCUAUCUCAUUUUGCUACAAUAACUUAUAGGUCUAUACUUUGUAUUAACUGAUGAGC